RNAcentral lists this long non-coding RNA (1079 nucleotides) under Sinocyclocheilus grahami. Its description in RNAcentral is "lncRNA (ENSSGRG00000038135.1)". The stretch from base 311 to 431 matches the Rfam family "Small nucleolar RNA SNORA26". Lineage: Eukaryota; Metazoa; Chordata; Actinopteri; Cypriniformes; Cyprinidae. The record is from RNAcentral.
UGGAGGCGGUCUCUUUAAAUAUCCCAGAAUUCCUCACAGCUCACACGUGUUCAUUGCUUCCCGCACUGCACUGUCGCACAAAGAUCUCACACACACGGUCAGAGACAGCAUGAGCGGGCGCAGUAUGGACGUUGAUUGUCCAUCUGAACCCCCUGACUGAAGAGAAACAUGCCAGUUUCUACGAUGUCUUCCCUAUAAGGGCUCAUAUAUUGGUUUGGCCCUGAGGCCACAGUUGUGCUUGAGAAUCCUUCUCUAACCAUUAAUUGGUAAGUGAUUUACUUUUCUUUCUAGUUUCUUUCAACCCCUUUUAUUGCACAUUCAAGUCCUGUUAUGUCUUGAGUGAUUAAGACAGGGGGGUAGAUGAAUUCUCUCAAAAACCUGAAGUAUUGGCUUAACAUUCCUUGCUUCGGAUCCUGUCGGGAGAAACAAUUUUUAUAAUAGUUAGCCUUGCUAAUUGUAUUAAGAUACUUGAUCGGUCUAAAUUUGUAUUUUGCAGCUAAUGGCAAAGGCAGAGAAUGUAAGAACUACAGUCAUUAGGUGAGUAACUUGGGCAUAUCACUGCUUUUUCUGCUUGUAUUUCAAACUGCUUGUAUUUUUUUCAUUCAACCAGUCUGAUCUAGUCUCAUGAUCCCUCCUAUGCUUUGUCCACUGGAGGCUGUUGGUGUUUCUAGUGGUCAUGUCAGGGGGGUAGAGUGAGCUACUCUUGCUAAAACCUGGGUCAGAGGUCACCUUCUCUGUGCCUGGAUCCUGUCGCAAGACACAUGCAUGUAUAAGAAUUUAAUUCAGGCAGUGUUUAUGUAAUGUGUAACCUGGUUUGAGUUUUAAAGUGAAUUUAGGUUUUCCCUUUCUCUUAACAGAUUCCGUUGAUGGCUUCUUUUUCGGCCACAUGUAUUCAGUGACUGGUGGCUUGUUCCUCGGAAGUGAUGCAACUUGAGUAGAGCAAACUUUAUUGUUGGGAGAAUUUUUGGAGAACGUCUAAAAUGAGUUGGGGCAUUUCUAUUGUAAACCAUGUGUUUUAAUGAUUUUGCAAGUUAUGCGUUGAUUGUUACCAAUAAAGAAAUGCUUGCUUGUAUUUUUUU